AGUGAACGCUGGCGGUAGGCCUAACACAUGCAAGUCGAACGGCAGCACAGUAAGAGCUUGCUCUUACGGGUGGCGAGUCGCGGACGGGUGAGGAAUACAUCGGAAUCUACUUUUUCGUGGGGGAUAACGUAGGGAAACUUACGCUAAUACCGCAUACGACCUACGGGUGAAAGCAGGGGAUCUUCGGACCUUGCGCGAUUGAAUGAGCCGAUGUCGGAGUAGCUAGUUGGCGGGGUAAAGGCCCACCAAGGCGACGAUCCGUAGCUGGUCUGAGAGGAUGAUCAGCCACACUGGAACUGAGACACGGUCCAGACUCCUACGGGAGGCAGCAGUGGGGAAUAUUGGACAAUGGGCGCAAGCCUGAUCCAGCCAUACCGCGUGGGUGAAGAAGGCCUUCGGGUUGUAAAGCCCUUUUGUUGGGAAAGAAAAGCAGCAGGUUAAGACCCCGCUGUUCUGACGGUACCCAAAGAAUAAGCACCGGCUAACUUCGUG
RNAcentral lists this ribosomal RNA (492 nucleotides) under uncultured bacterium. RNAcentral's name for it is "partial 16S ribosomal RNA". It matches the Rfam family "Bacterial small subunit ribosomal RNA", at positions 29 to 507 of the family's 1533-position model. The record is from RNAcentral.